ACAUACAAGUCGAGGGGUAGAGUUUCUUCGGAAACUUGAGACCGGCGCACGGGUGCGUAACGCGUAUGCAAUCUACCCUUUACUGGGGAAUAGCCCGGAGAAAUUCGGAUUAAUGCCCCAUAUGCCCACGGAAUCGCAUGGUUCAGUGGGGAAAAGUUCCGACGGUAAAGGAUGAGCAUGCGUCCCAUUAGCUAGUUGGUGAGGUAACGGCUCACCAAGGCGACGAUGGGUAGGGGCCUGAGAGGGUGAUCCCCCACACUGGUACUGAGACACGGACCAGACUCC
RNAcentral lists this ribosomal RNA (285 nucleotides) under uncultured bacterium. RNAcentral's name for it is "partial 16S ribosomal RNA". It matches the Rfam family "Bacterial small subunit ribosomal RNA", at positions 53 to 339 of the family's 1533-position model. The record is from RNAcentral.